RNAcentral lists this ribosomal RNA (454 nucleotides) under uncultured bacterium. RNAcentral describes it as "bacterial SSU rRNA". It matches the Rfam family "Bacterial small subunit ribosomal RNA", at positions 954 to 1402 of the family's 1533-position model. The record is from RNAcentral.
GCUAAACGCGAAGAACCUUACCAGGCCUUGACAUGCAGAGAACUUUCCAGAGAUGGGAUUGGGUGCCUUCGGGAGGCUCUGACACAGGUGCUGCACGGCUGUCGUCAGCUCGUGUCGUGAGAUGUUGGGUUAAGUCCCGUAACGAGCGCGAACCCUUGUCCUUAGUUACCAGCACGUUAUGGUGGGCACUCGUAAGGAGACUGCCGGUGACAAACCGGAGGAAGGUGGGGAUGGACGUCAAGUCAUCAUGGCCCUUAGGCCUGGGCUACACACGUGCUACAAUGGUCGGUACAGAGGGUUGCCAAGCCGCGAGGUGGAGCUAAUCUCACAAAACCGAUCGUAGUCCGGAUCGCAGUCUGCAACUCGACUGCGUGAAGUCGGAAUCGCUAGGUAAUCGCGAAUCAGAAUGUCGCGGUGAAUACGUUCCCGGGGUCUUGUACACACCGAGUCGUGG